Non-coding RNA from Streptomyces sp., 75 nucleotides. It matches the Rfam family "ASpks TB sRNA". The record is from Rfam. NCBI's taxonomy places the organism in Bacteria, Bacillati, Actinomycetota, Actinomycetes, Kitasatosporales, Streptomycetaceae.
CUUCACCGACCCCAACCACAACGGCCGAUCCCCCUCACGCUCCCGCCCGUACGUGGCCAGCAGCGCCUGCGCCUC